AACGACGCUGGCGGCGCGCCUAACACAUGCAAGUCGAGCGAGAAUGAGGGCUUCGGCCUUCUAGUAAAGCGGCGCACGGGUGAGUAACACGUGGGUAAUCUGCCCAACGGUGCAGGAAAACGCUCCGAAAGGAACGCUAAUACUGCAUAAGACCACAGUUUCUGCGGAGACAGGGGUCAAAGAGGGUCUGCUUCGGCAGGCACUUGCCGAUGGAUGAGCCCGCGGCCCAUUAGCUAGUUGGUGAGGUAAUGGCUCACCAAGGCUACGACGGGUAGCUGGUCUGAGAGGAUGAUCAGCCACACUGGAACUGAGACACGGUCCAGACUCCUACGGGAGGCAGCAGUGGGGAAUCUUGCGCAAUGGGCGAAAGCCUGACGCAGCGACGCCGCGUGGGUGACGAAGGCCUUCGGGUUGUAAAGCCCUGUGGGGAGGAACGAACCGUCCGGGGGCUAAUACCCUCCGGGCCUGACGGUACCUCUUUAGCAAGCAUCGGCUAACUCUGUG
This 504-nucleotide ribosomal RNA is filed under the name uncultured bacterium. Its description in RNAcentral is "bacterial SSU rRNA". It matches the Rfam family "Bacterial small subunit ribosomal RNA", at positions 33 to 507 of the family's 1533-position model. The record is from RNAcentral.